UAGCUCAGUUGGUUAGAGCACCUGCCUUACAAGCAGGGGGUCACAGGUUCGAGUCCUGUAUCGCC
RNAcentral lists this transfer RNA (65 nucleotides) under human gut metagenome. It matches the Rfam family "tRNA", at positions 8 to 63 of the family's 71-position model. Rfam says of the family: Transfer RNA (tRNA) molecules are approximately 80 nucleotides in length. Their secondary structure includes four short double-helical elements and three loops (D, anti-codon, and T loops). The record is from RNAcentral.